RNA transcript from Musa acuminata AAA Group (dessert banana), 2382 nucleotides. It is a transcript of the gene named transmembrane 9 superfamily member 2, with no coding region annotated. The transcript is spliced from 10 exons. NCBI's taxonomy places the organism in Eukaryota, Viridiplantae, Streptophyta, Magnoliopsida, Zingiberales, Musaceae. The record is from RefSeq and is a predicted model, not a curated record.
UUUGAGGGCUGAUUUGGAGUUUUAUUUGAUCGAUUUCAGGUUCGAGGAUCUUGAAGAUGGAGUUAUCUACGUUCGUUCUUCUCGUAAUGGCUUGUGGUUUGAGGGUGGGAGCUGAUGGAACCAAUCAUAGGUACAAAGAGGGUGAUCAUGUACCCCUAUAUGCCAAUAAGGUCGGACCUUUCCACAACCCCAGCGAUACAUAUCGUUACUAUGACUUGCCAUUCUGCUCACCAGAGCAUGUUACCGAAAAGACGGAAUCCCUUGGGGAAGUUCUAAAUGGUGAUCGUUUGGUCGAUGCACCGUACGAAUUAGAUUUUCUGGAGGAGCAGCAGUCAAACUCUCUUUGUAAAAAUAACUUGUCAAAUGAAGAUGUUGCAAAGUUCAGACAUGCUGUAUCAAAGGACUAUUACUUUGAAAUGUAUUAUGAUGAGCUGCCUUUAUGGGGUUUCCUGGGCAAGAUUGAGGGGGUCAAGUCUGAUUCGGGCAAAGACAAGUACUUUUUCUUUAAACACAUCCACUUCAAUAUCCUUUACAAUGAUGAUCGGGUCAUGGAGAUCAAUGUACAAACGGACCCCAAUAUUAAUGUGGAUAUCUCGGAGGAUAGGAAAUUGGAUAUCGAGUUUUUAUAGUCUGUGACAUGGAAAAAUACUGACAUAUCUUUUGAAGAAAGGAUGGCAAAGUACUCGAGGACAUCCUCUAUGCCUCAACAUUUAGAGAUUCAUUGGUUCUCAAUUGUUAAUUCAUGUGUGACUGUCCUUCUUCUGACUGGGUUUCUUGCUACGAUUCUCAUGCGUGUGCUCAAAAAUGAUUUUGUAAAAUAUUAUCUCAUUGAGGAGUCUCUUGAAGAUCAAGAGGAUUCUGGAUGGAAAUAUAUCCAUGGAGACGUCUUCCGAUUUCCAAAGUACAAGUCUUUGUUUUCAGCUAUUAUUGGUUCUGGAACUCAGCUCCUAGUGCUUACAAUGUUCAUCUUCCUUCUUGCACUUGUUGGUGUGUUCUACCCAUACAAUCGGGGAGCCCUUGACACAGCUCUUGUUGUCUUCUAUGCUCUGAAUUCUGGUAUCGCUGGUUACACAGCGAGCUCCUUCUAUAUGCAGCUCUAAGGGACUAAUUGGGUGAGGAAUUUGUUGUUGACUGGCUGCUUAUUUUGUGGUCCCUUGUUCUUGACAUUCUUCUUCCUGAACACUGUUGCUAUUACAUAUAGCGCAACUGCAGCUCUGCCAUUUGGAACCAUCCUUGUGAUUCUACUUAUAUGGGCAUUGGUUACUUCCCCUUUGCUCAUAUUGGGUUGGGUUGCUGGUAAAAACAGCAAAACUGAAUUCCAAGCUCCAUGCCGUACCAACACGUACCCAAGAGAAAUUCCUGAAUUGGCAUGGUAUCGAGGCACCAUACCUCAGAUGGCAAUGACAGGAUUCCUUCCUUUUAGUGCCAUCUAUGUAGAAGUAGAACUCUACUAUAUAUUUGCUAGAGUGUGGGGUCACAACAUAUAUACAAUAUAUAGUAUGCUUUUUAUUGUUUUCGUCAUUCUUAUAAUUGGCACAGUGUUCAUCACUGUUGCAUUGACAUAUUUCCAACUUGCAGCAGAGGAUCAUGGGUGGUGGUGGAGGAAAAAUGCAUUAGUUGGAAGGAAACUUGUGCUACGAAGGACUUGUAAUUGCUAUGGUUAUGGUGCCAAACAAAAUCAACUUUUUAGCAGUAAUCAUAAGUGGAGGUCACAGCUGUGUAUGACAGAGAAUUACAAGCUUUUAGAUCUUUCGGACUUCCUAAUCUAUGUCAUGUCAUCUGAGGAGCUUGAGGAUGUAUAUACGAAAAUCAACCUUGCUGUUUCUGACUAGAACCAUAAUAGAAUGGUGUCCCAUAUGCUGCAGAAAUCUUGUAUUAGCUGACUGCUGAGUAGCACAGCUCACAAUAAAGAUAUGACUAUUCAGGAUAUGGAGCAUCUAUUGGUAAGGUUUGCACAGCCGUCGAAUUAAUCUACCAUGCAUUUCUAUAUGGUGUUUAGCCAAGCGAAUACCACACAUAAGCAGAUAUCGAGACAGUGUACCAGUGUCUGCAAACAGAAUAUGGAGCCGGUCAGGAAGAUUUGAUCUUGUAUGGCCAAUCUGUCGGUUGCGGUCCCACAUUGCAUUUGGCAGCUCACUUGCCGAGACUGUGAGGCGUAGUACUUCACAGUGCUAUACUGUCAGGUCUUCGUGUGGUUUGCCAUUUGAAAUUCUCGUUCUGCUUUGACAUUUAUAAAGUGUGCCUCUUGCUUUGAGUCUUUGACCACAAUCUUUUUACUCGUACUCUUAGAUUGGUCAGUGAUUUUAGCUACUAAUUGGUCUGCCUUUUGAUGCAGAACAUUGACAAAAUUAAAAAGGUCAAGUGCCCAGUUUUUGUAAUUCA